UCAGGAUGAACGCUGGCGGCGUGCCUAAUACAUGCAAGUCGAGCGAAUGGAUUGAGAGCUUGCUCUCAAGAAGUUAGCGGCGGACGGGUGAGUAACACGUGGGUAACCUGCCCAUAAGACUGGGAUAACUCCGGGAAACCGGGGCUAAUACCGGAUAAUAUUUUGAACUGCAUGGUUCGAAAUUGAAAGGCGGCUUCGGCUGUCACUUAUGGAUGGACCCGCGUCGCAUUAGCUAGUUGGUGAGGUAACGGCUCACCAAGGCAACGAUGCGUAGCCGACCUGAGAGGGUGAUCGGCCACNCUGGGACUGAGACACGGCCCAGACUCCUACGGGAGGCAGCAGUAGGGAAUCUUCCGCAAUGGACGAAAGUCUGACGGAGCAACGCCGCGUGAGUGAUGAAGGCUUUCGGGUCGUAAAACUCUGUUGUUAGGGAAGAACAAGUGCUAGUUGAAUAAGCUGGCACCUGACGGUA
This 472-nucleotide ribosomal RNA is filed under the name soil bacterium 04G-03. RNAcentral's name for it is "bacterial SSU rRNA". It matches the Rfam family "Bacterial small subunit ribosomal RNA", at positions 24 to 487 of the family's 1533-position model. The record is from RNAcentral.